GCUGGCGGCGUGCAUAACACAUGCAAGUCGAACGAUGAAACUUGGCUGAUUUCUUCGGAAUGAAAUUAAGUGGAUUAGUGGCGAACGGGUGAGUAACACGUGAGUAACCUGCCUUACACAAGGGGAUAGCCUUUGGAAACGAAGAAUAAUACCCUAUAAAGUCAAAAUAUCGCAUGAUAAAAUGACCAAAGAUUUAUCGGUGUAAGAUGGACUUGCGUCUGAUUAGCUAGUUGGUGAGAUAAAAGCCCACCAAGGCGACGAUCAGUAGCCGGCUUGAGAGAGUGUACGGCCACAUUGGGACUGAGACACGGCCCAAACUCCUACGGGAGGCAGCAGUGGGGAAUUUUGCACAAUGGGGGAAACCCUGAUGCAGCGACGCCGCGUGAUUUAGAAGGCCUUCGGGUUGUAAAAAUCUUUUUUAUGGGAUGAAAAUGACAGUACCAUAAGAAUAAGGUCCGGCUAAAUACGUGCCAGCAGCCGCGG
Molecule: ribosomal RNA, 483 nt
Filed under: Anaerococcus vaginalis
Lineage: Bacteria; Bacillati; Bacillota; Tissierellia; Tissierellales; Peptoniphilaceae
Description: bacterial SSU rRNA
Rfam family: Bacterial small subunit ribosomal RNA
Source: RNAcentral